RNAcentral lists this ribosomal RNA (515 nucleotides) under uncultured bacterium. RNAcentral describes it as "partial 16S ribosomal RNA". It matches the Rfam family "Bacterial small subunit ribosomal RNA", at positions 30 to 523 of the family's 1533-position model. The record is from RNAcentral.
AUUGAACGCUGGCGGCAUGCCUUACACAUGCAAGUCGAGCGAAUGGAUUAAGAGCUUGCUCUUAUGAAGUUAGCGGCGGACGGGUGAGUAACACGUGGGUAACCUGCCCAUAAGACUGGGAUAACUCCGGGAAACCGGGGCUAAUACCGGAUAAUAUUUUGAACUGCAUGGUUCAAAAUUGAAAGGCGGCUUCGGCUGUCACUUAUGGAUGGACCCGCGUCGCAUUAGCUAGUUGGUGAGGUAACGGCUCACCAAGGCAACGAUGCGUAGCCGACCUGAGAGGGUGAUCGGCCACACUGGGACUGAGACACGGCCCAGACUCCUACGGGAGGCAGCAGUAGGGAAUCUUCCGCAAUGGACGAAAGUCUGACGGAGCAACGCCGCGUGAGUGAUGAAGGCUUUCGGGUCGUAAAACUCUGUUGCUAGGGAAGAACAAGUGCUAGUUGAAUAAGCUGGCACCUUGACGGUACCUAACCAGAAAGCCACGGCUAACUACGUGCCAGCAGCCGCAGUAA